GUCGAGCGGUAGAGAGGUGCUUGCACCUCUUGAGAGCGGCGGACGGGUGAGUAAAGCCUAGGAAUCUGCCUGGUAGUGGGGGAUAACGCUCGGAAACGGACGCUAAUACCGCAUACGUCCUACGGGAGAAAGCAGGGGACCUUCGGGCCUUGCGCUAUCAGAUGAGCCUAGGUCGGAUUAGCUAGUUGGUGAGGUAAUGGCUCACCAAGGCGACGAUCCGUAACUGGUCUGAGAGGAUGAUCAGUCACACUGGAACUGAGACACGGUCCAGACUCCUACGGGAGGCAGCAGUGGGGAAUAUUGGACAAUGGGCGAAAGCCUGAUCCAGCCAUGCCGCGUGUGUGAAGAAGGUCUUCGGAUUGUAAAGCACUUUAAGUUGGGAGGAAGGGCAUUAACCUAAUACGUUAGUGUUUUGACGUUACCGACAGAAUAAGCACCGGCUAACUCUGUGCCAGCAGCCGCGGUAAUACAGAGGGUGCAAGCGUUAAUCGGAAUUACUGGGCGUAAAGCGCGCGUAGGUGGUUCGUUAAGUUGGAUGUGAAAUCCCCGGGCUCAACCUGGGAACUGCAUUCAAAACUGUCGAGCUAGAGUAUGGUAGAGGGUGGUGGAAUUUCCU
This 616-nucleotide ribosomal RNA is filed under the name uncultured bacterium. Its description in RNAcentral is "bacterial SSU rRNA". It matches the Rfam family "Bacterial small subunit ribosomal RNA", at positions 61 to 672 of the family's 1533-position model. The record is from RNAcentral.